CCUACGGGUGGCAGCAGUGAGGAAUAUUCGUCAAUGGGCGCGAGCCUGAACCAGCCAAGUAGCGUGAAGGAUGACUGCCCUACGGGUUGUAAACUUCUUUUAUAAAGGACUACGUUGAGGAAAGUGUGCCUUUUUGCAUGUACUUUAUGAAUAAGGAUCGUCUAACUCAGUGCCAGCAGCCGCGGUAAUACGGAGGAUACGAGCGUUAUCCGGAUUUAUUGGGUUUAAAGGGAGCGGAGAUGGGUUCUUAAGUCAGUUGUGAAAGUUUGCGGCUCAACCGUAAAAUUGCAAUUGAUACUGGCAGCCUUGAGUACAGUUGAGGUAGGCGGAAUUCGUGGUGUAGCGGUGAAAUGCUUAGAUAUCACGAAGAACUCAGAUUGCGAAGGCAGCUUACUAAACUGCCACUGACAUUGAUGCUCGAAAGUGUGGGUAUCAAACAGGAUUAGAUACCCUUGUAGGC
This 460-nucleotide ribosomal RNA is filed under the name uncultured bacterium. RNAcentral's name for it is "partial 16S ribosomal RNA". It matches the Rfam family "Bacterial small subunit ribosomal RNA", at positions 338 to 795 of the family's 1533-position model. The record is from RNAcentral.